AGAUUAAGUUAUUAAGGGCGCACGGUGGAUGCCUUGGCACUAGAAGCCGAUGAAGGACGUUACUAACGACGAUAUGCUUUGGGUAGCUGUAAGUAAGCGUUGAUCCAGAGAUUUCCGAAUGGGGGAACCCAGCAUGAGUUAUGUCAUGUUAUCGACAUGUGAAUUUAUAGCAUGUCAGAAGGCAGACCCGGAGAACUGAAACAUCUUAGUACCCGGAGGAAGAGAAAGAAAAAUCGAUUCCCUGAGUAGCGGCGAGCGAAACGGGAAGAGCCCAAACCAACAAGCUUGCUUGUUGGGGUUGUAGGACACUCUAUACGGAGUUACAAAAGAACAUGUUAGACGAAUCAUCUGGAAAGAUGAAUCAAAGAAGGUAAUAAUCCUGUAGUCGAAAACAUAUUCUCUCUUGAGUGGAUCCUGAGUACGACGGAGCACGUGAAAUUCCGUCGGAAUCUGGGAGGACCAUCUCCUAAGGCUAAAUACUCUCUAGUGACCGAUAGUGAACCAGUACCGUGAGGGAAAGGUGAAAAGUACCCCGGAAGGGGAGUGAAAGAGAACUUGAAACCGUGUGCUUACAAGUAGUCAGAGCCCGUUAAUGGGUGAUGGCGUGCCUUUUGUAGAAUGAACCGGCGAGUUACGAUCUGAUGCAAGGUUAAGCAGCAAAUGUGGAGCCGCAGCGAAAGCGAGUCUGAAUAGGGCGUUGAGUAUUUGGUCGUAGACCCGAAACCAGGUGAUCUACCCUUGGUCAGGUUGAAGUUCAGGUAACACUGAAUGGAGGACCGAACCGACUUACGUUGAAAAGUGAGCGGAUGAACUGAGGGUAGCGGAGAAAUUCCAAUCGAACUUGGAGAUAGCUGGUUCUCUCCGAAAUAGCUUUAGGG
This 878-nucleotide ribosomal RNA is filed under the name Listeria monocytogenes. RNAcentral describes it as "bacterial LSU rRNA". It matches the Rfam family "Bacterial large subunit ribosomal RNA", at positions 1 to 875 of the family's 2925-position model. The record is from RNAcentral. Lineage: Bacteria; Bacillati; Bacillota; Bacilli; Caryophanales; Listeriaceae.